UACGUAAGUGGCGAGCGUUAUCCGGAAUCACUGGGCGUAAAGCGCGCGCAGGCGGCGAUCUACGUCUGGGGUGAAAGCCCGGAGCUCAACUCCGGGACUGCCUUGGAUACGGGAUCGCUUGAGGAUUGGAGAGGCAAGGGGAAUUCCACGUGUAGCGGUGAAAUGCGUAGAUAUGUGGAGGAACACCUGUGGCGAAGGCGCCUUGCUGGCCAAUUUCUGACGCUGAGGCGCGAAAGCGUGGGGAGCAAACAGG
Molecule: ribosomal RNA, 253 nt
Filed under: uncultured bacterium
Lineage: Bacteria
Description: partial 16S ribosomal RNA
Rfam family: Bacterial small subunit ribosomal RNA
Source: RNAcentral